AGUGAACGCUGGCGGUAGGCUUAACACAUGCAAGUCGAACGGCAGCGCAGUAACAGCCUUCUCUUCCGGGUGGCGAGUGGCGGACGGGUCAGGAAUACAUCGGAACCUACUUUUUCGUAGGGGACAACGUAGGGAAACUUACGCCAAUACCGCAUACGACCUACGGGUGAAAGCUGGGGAUCUUCGGACCUUGCGCGAUGGCUGGAGCCGAUGUCGGAUUAGCUAGUUGGAGGGGUAAAGGCACACCAAGGCGACGAUCCGUAGCUGGUCUGAGAGGAUGAUCAGCCACACUGGGACUGAGACACGGUCCAGACUCCUACGGGAGGCAGCAGUGGGGAAUAUUGGACAAUGGGCGCAAGCCUGAUCCAGCCAUACCGCGUGAGUGAAGAAGGCCUUCGGGUUGUAAAGCCCUUUCGUUGGGAAAGAAAAGCAGGAGAUUAAUACCCCGGUGUUCUGACGGUACCCAAAGAAGAAGCACCGGCUAACUACGUG
This 492-nucleotide ribosomal RNA is filed under the name uncultured bacterium. RNAcentral describes it as "partial 16S ribosomal RNA". It matches the Rfam family "Bacterial small subunit ribosomal RNA", at positions 29 to 507 of the family's 1533-position model. The record is from RNAcentral.